Molecule: ribosomal RNA, 467 nt
Filed under: uncultured bacterium
Lineage: Bacteria
Description: partial 16S ribosomal RNA
Rfam family: Bacterial small subunit ribosomal RNA
Source: RNAcentral
GACGAACGCUGGCGGCGUGCUUAACACAUGCAAGUCGAACGGAAAGGCCCUGCUUUUGUGGGGUGCUCGAGUGGCGAACGGGUGAGUAACACGUGAGUAACCUGCCCUUGACUUUGGGAUAACUUCAGGAAACUGGGGCUAAUACCGGAUAGGAGCUCCUGCUGCAUGGUGGGGGUUGGAAAGUUUCGGCGGUUGGGGAUGGACUCGCGGCUUAUCAGCUUGUUGGUGGGGUAGUGGCUUACCAAGGCUUUGACGGGUAGCCGGCCUGAGAGGGUGACCGGCCACAUUGGGACUGAGAUACGGCCCAGACUCCUACGGGAGGCAGCAGUGGGGAAUAUUGCACAAUGGGCGGAAGCCGGAUGCAGCAACGCCGCGUGCGGGAUGACGGCCUUCGGGUUGUAAACCGCUUUCGCCUGUGACGAAGCGUGAGUGACGGUAAUGGGUAAGAAGCACCGGCUAACUACGUG